UAUUAUAUUUAAUGUUAAAUUGUUACUAGGGUAGUAGUAGUUAUGUUCUUGAAACCUAAAGAAUUUGGCGGUAUUUUAGUCUUUUCAGAGGAAUCUGUCCUAUAAUUGAUAAUACACGAUUUAUUUUACUUAAUUUGGUAAUUAGUUUGUAUACCGCCGUCUUAAGAUUAUUUUUAUUGAGAAGAUUUUCUUAUUUUUAUAUUAAAAGAUACGUCAGGUCAAGGUGCAGCUUAUGAUUAAGUAGAGAUGGAUUACAAUGAUUUUAGUUAUAUGAAUAAUUUUUAGAAUUAUAUUUUUGAAGGUGGAUUUGAUUGUAAAUUUAUUUUAAAUUAUUAUUUUGAUUGUGGCUCUAGAAUGUGUACAUAUCGCCCGUCACUCUCAUAAUUUUAUUGAG
RNAcentral lists this ribosomal RNA (394 nucleotides) under Cardiodactylus javarere. RNAcentral's name for it is "partial small subunit ribosomal RNA". Lineage: Eukaryota; Metazoa; Arthropoda; Insecta; Orthoptera; Gryllidae. The record is from RNAcentral.